UACGGAGGAUCCGAGCGUUAUCCGGAUUUAUUGGGUUUAAAGGGAGCGUAGGUGGAUUGUUAAGUCAGUUGUGAAAGUUUGCGGCUCAACCGUAAAAUUGCAGUUGAAACUGGCAGUCUUGAGUACAGUAGAGGUGGGCGGAAUUCGUGGUGUAGCGGUGAAAUGCUUAGAUAUCAGGAGGAACACCGGUGGCGAAGGCGGUUUACUGGACCACAACUGACGCUGAGACACGAAAGCGUGGGGAGCAAACAGG
This 253-nucleotide ribosomal RNA is filed under the name uncultured Bacteroides sp. RNAcentral's name for it is "partial 16S ribosomal RNA". It matches the Rfam family "Bacterial small subunit ribosomal RNA", at positions 524 to 776 of the family's 1533-position model. Lineage: Bacteria; Pseudomonadati; Bacteroidota; Bacteroidia; Bacteroidales; Bacteroidaceae. The record is from RNAcentral.